This 253-nucleotide ribosomal RNA is filed under the name uncultured bacterium. RNAcentral describes it as "partial 16S ribosomal RNA". It matches the Rfam family "Bacterial small subunit ribosomal RNA", at positions 524 to 776 of the family's 1533-position model. The record is from RNAcentral.
UACGUAGGGUGCGAGCGUUGUCCGGAAUUAUUGGGCGUAAAGAGCUCGUAGGCGGUCUGUCGCGUCGAAUGUGAAAACCCGGGGCUCAACUCCGGGCUUGCAUUCGAUACGGGCAGGCUAGAGUUCGGUAGGGGAGUCUGGAAUUCCUGGUGUAACGGUGAAAUGUGUUGAUAUCAGGAGGAACACCCAUGGCGAAGGCAGCAAACUGGGCAUCAACUGACGCUGAGGCGCGAAAGCGUGGGUAGCAAACAGG